Molecule: ribosomal RNA, 253 nt
Filed under: uncultured bacterium
Lineage: Bacteria
Description: partial 16S ribosomal RNA
Rfam family: Bacterial small subunit ribosomal RNA
Source: RNAcentral
UACGAAGGGUGCUAGCGUUGUUCGGAAUCACUGGGCGUAAAGCGUGCGUAGGCGGCUUUCCAAGUCAGGGGUGAAAUCCUGGGGCUUAACCCCAGAAUUGCCUUUGAAACUGGAAAGCUAGAGUAUUGGAGGGGAUAGCGGAAUUGCUAAUGUAGAGGUGAAAUUCGUAGAUAUUAGCAGGAACACCGGUGGCGAAGGCGGCUAUCUGGACAAUUACUGACGCUCUGGCACGAAAGUGUGGGGAUCAAACAGG